GACGAACGCUGGCGGCGUGCUUAACACAUGCAAGUCGAACGCUGAAGCCUGGCUUUUGUUGGGUGGAUGAGUGGCGAACGGGUGAGUAACACGUGAGUAACCUGCCCUCUUCUUUGGGAUAACGCCCGGAAACGGGUGCUAAUACUGGAUAUUCACUUGCCUUCGCAUGGGGGUGGGUGGAAAGGGUUUUUUCUGGUGGGGGAUGGGCUCGCGGCCUAUCAGCUUGUUGGUGGGGUGAUGGCUUACCAAGGCUUUGACGGGUAGCCGGCCUGAGAGGGUGACCGGUCACAUUGGGACUGAGAUACGGCCCAGACUCCUACGGGAGGCAGCAGUGGGGAAUAUUGCACAAUGGGCGCAAGCCUGAUGCAGCGACGCCGCGUGAGGGAUGGAGGCCUUCGGGUUGUGAACCUCUUUCGCUCAUGGUCAAGCCGCAACUCGUGGUUGUGGUGAGGGUAGUGGGUAAAGAAGCGCCGGCUAACUACUUGCCAGCCCCCCCGGUAAUACGUUUGGCGCGAGCGUUGUCCGGAAUUAUUGCGCGUAAAGGGCUUGUAAGCGGUUGGCCGCGUCUGCCCUGAAAAUCCUCUGCUAUACUGUG
RNAcentral lists this ribosomal RNA (595 nucleotides) under uncultured Actinomyces sp. RNAcentral's name for it is "bacterial SSU rRNA". It matches the Rfam family "Bacterial small subunit ribosomal RNA", at positions 28 to 617 of the family's 1533-position model. Lineage: Bacteria; Bacillati; Actinomycetota; Actinomycetes; Actinomycetales; Actinomycetaceae. The record is from RNAcentral.